Molecule: transfer RNA, 82 nt
Filed under: Bacillus cereus
Lineage: Bacteria; Bacillati; Bacillota; Bacilli; Caryophanales; Bacillaceae
Also listed under: 2 other names
Description: tRNA-Leu
Rfam family: tRNA
About the family: Transfer RNA (tRNA) molecules are approximately 80 nucleotides in length. Their secondary structure includes four short double-helical elements and three loops (D, anti-codon, and T loops).
Source: RNAcentral
GUGGAUAUAACGGAACGGUAAACGUAUCAGAUUUAAAAUCUGAUGUCUAAAAGACUUACAGGUUCAAAUCCUGUUAUCCGCC